RNAcentral lists this transfer RNA (59 nucleotides) under Anaticola crassicornis (slender duck louse). RNAcentral describes it as "tRNA-Glu". Lineage: Eukaryota; Metazoa; Arthropoda; Insecta; Psocodea; Philopteridae. The record is from RNAcentral.
AUUACUAUAGUUUAAAUAAAACAAUUCAUUUUCAAUGAAUAGAUGUAAUUCUAGUAGUA